Non-coding RNA from Callorhinus ursinus (northern fur seal), 746 nucleotides. The record is from RefSeq and is a predicted model, not a curated record. NCBI's taxonomy places the organism in Eukaryota, Metazoa, Chordata, Mammalia, Carnivora, Otariidae.
CAAAAUUACAUGUUACUGAGUGCUCAUUCUCCCCAUCUCUUCCCACCUGGCAGUAAGAAAGGGAUGAGUGAUUGAAGAACUUCUUACGCCAAAUUCUGCCUUGAGCCUGAUCACAGGGGAGGAUAUUAAUGACCUCCAGAGCAUUAAUAAGUUUGAAUCACCUGGGAUGGAGUAAAUGGAGGCCCCUGGGAAUAGGACCUAGAUGCCUACUCUGAUGGUGCCUCCUAUCUCUUCAUUUCCAGACCCAGAGCUGUCUACGCUACUCCUGGUAGCUGUCACUCUGGGCCCAAAGCUGCUGCUGCUCAUCACUGUCUCUGCCAUCUAUGCCCACAGAAAGAGAAGAUCUGACUGUGUCCCAGGAGGAAAAUAGCACCAAGGACAUAGGAGACACAUGGGGAACAUUUCUGGAAUGAUGAGCAGAUAAUUAACUGUGGUGAACAUGGGUCCUACGGCACCUACCUUCCUCCCCUGCUACAUGCCACCCUCAGUGUCUGCUGCCUCCUUCCUUCCCUGAGGGAUCCAGCCUAAGAGAAGGAACAACUAGAAGCUUCCACAACAACCCUGCUCCAAAUGCCUUGCUUCCCCCAGAGACCCAGCUGCCCACACCUCCUGCUGCUCCUUCUCAGAGUCUUUGAUGCUCCCAGAGCUGGGUCUUCAUAUCAGAUCCUCAGCAGGGACCAUGGGAACUUGCUCUGGGGACUGAUGCAGAGACUUGUGAGAAACAAGUCACAUCUACACAGACCAGG